GCACCACAAGAACGCGUGGAGCAUGUGGCUUAAUUUGACUCAACGCGGGAAAUCUUACCGGGUCCGGACACACUGAGGAUUGACAGGCAAUAUCUUGGCUGUUUAAUAACCGUUUAUUAAUAAACGGUUUAUUAAACAGAUCGAGUGUUAAAUAUGCUAGUCCUUUCAUGAUUAUGUGAUAGGUGGUGCAUGGCCGUUCUUAGUUCGUGGAGUGAUCUGUCUGCUUAAUUGCGUUUCACUAAGGGCCCAUAAAUUCAAGGUAUGUUAGCAAUCGUCGCUCUAUGGACCCCUUAUUUCAGUUUAUUAAUAAACUGUUAUAAGCGCGCGUCUUGUUUAAAGAGUUUAAGACACUGCGCAUGCUGUUGGGCUCUGAAAGCAACGAACGUGACCGCAACGUCUUGUUGCCUUAAUCAAGUCGGCUGUUUAAUCUGUUUAAUUAAACAGACAGCAGUCAUUAUAUGGCUUAUCCGAGGCUAUUUAAAACUAGACGAACCGCUGUUUCUUUUCUUAAACCAGGGGAAGGUUGCGGCAAUAACAGGUCUGUGAUG
RNAcentral lists this ribosomal RNA (548 nucleotides) under Neogloboquadrina pachyderma. Its description in RNAcentral is "SSU rRNA". It matches the Rfam family "Eukaryotic small subunit ribosomal RNA", at positions 1164 to 1469 of the family's 1831-position model. The record is from RNAcentral. Lineage: Eukaryota; Foraminifera; Rotaliida; Globorotaliidae.